AGUAGAAGCCAAAAGGAUGUGAGUAUUUUUGAAAUCCACCUCCCUUUGGCUUCUACUAC
This 59-nucleotide microRNA precursor is filed under the name Drosophila ananassae. Its description in RNAcentral is "Dan-Novel-5_pre stem-loop". The record is from RNAcentral. Lineage: Eukaryota; Metazoa; Arthropoda; Insecta; Diptera; Drosophilidae.